AUUGAACGCUGGCGGCAUGCCUUACACAUGCAAGUCGAGCGCGAAAGGGGGCAACCCCGAGUAGAGCGGCGGACGGGUGAGUAACACAUCGGAACGUGCCCAGUAGUGGGGGACAACCUCGAGAAAUCGAGGCUAAUACCGCAUACGACCCACGGGUGAAAGCGGGGGACCCAAAGGAAACUGAGGGCCUCGCGCUAUUGGAGCGGCCGAUGUCCGAUUAGCUAGUUGGCGGGGUAAAGGCUUACCAAGGCGAUGAUCGGUAGCUGGUCUGAGAGGAUGAUCAGCCACACUGGGACUGAGACACGGCCCAGACUCCUACGGGAGGCAGCAGUGGGGAAUUUUGGACAAUGGGGGCAACCCUGAUCCAGCCAUUCCGCGUGAGUGAAGAAGGCCU
RNAcentral lists this ribosomal RNA (394 nucleotides) under uncultured bacterium. RNAcentral describes it as "bacterial SSU rRNA". It matches the Rfam family "Bacterial small subunit ribosomal RNA", at positions 29 to 417 of the family's 1533-position model. The record is from RNAcentral.